GCAUAUCAAUAAGCGGAGGAAAAGAAACUAACAAGGAUUCCCCUAGUAACGGCGAGUGAAGCGGGAAGAGCUCAAAUUUGAAAUCUGGUGGCCUCAGGUCAUCCGAGUUGUAAUCUAUAGAAGUGUUUUCCGUGCUGGCUCAUGUACAAGUCCCUUGGAACAGGGCGUCAUAGAGGGUGAGAAUCCCGUCCUUGACAUGAACUACCAGUGCUCUGUGAUACAUUUUCAACGAGUCGAGUUGUUUGGGAAUGCAGCUCAAAAUGGGUGGUAAAUUCCAUCUAAAGCUAAAUAUUGGCGAGAGACCGAUAGCGAACAAGUACCGUGAGGGAAAGAUGAAAAGCACUUUGGAAAGAGAGUUAAACAGUAUGUGAAAUUGUUGAAAGGGAAACGAUUGAAGUCAGUCGUGCUCUUUGGAUUCAGCCGGUUCUGCCGGUGUACUUCCUUUGAGUGGGGUCAACAUCAGUUUUGAUCGCUGGAUAAAGGCUGGAGGAACGUAGUACCCUCGGGUAAACUUAUAGCCUCCUGUCACAUACAGUGGUUGGGACUGAGGAACGCAGCACGCCUUUAUGGCCGGGAUUCGUCCACGUACGUGCUAGGA
Molecule: ribosomal RNA, 598 nt
Filed under: Filobasidium magnum
Lineage: Eukaryota; Fungi; Basidiomycota; Tremellomycetes; Filobasidiales; Filobasidiaceae
Description: partial large subunit ribosomal RNA
Rfam family: Eukaryotic large subunit ribosomal RNA
Source: RNAcentral